This 63-nucleotide transfer RNA is filed under the name Chalcophora japonica. RNAcentral describes it as "tRNA-His". It matches the Rfam family "tRNA". Rfam says of the family: Transfer RNA (tRNA) molecules are approximately 80 nucleotides in length. Their secondary structure includes four short double-helical elements and three loops (D, anti-codon, and T loops). The record is from RNAcentral. Lineage: Eukaryota; Metazoa; Arthropoda; Insecta; Coleoptera; Buprestidae.
AUUCAAGUAGUUUAAUUAAAAUACUGGUUUGUGGAACCUGAGAUGUAUGUUUUACCUUGAAUA